UCGAUCAUGCGGAAGAUCAUUG
RNAcentral lists this ribosomal RNA (22 nucleotides) under Fagus grandifolia (American beech). RNAcentral's name for it is "partial 18S ribosomal RNA". Lineage: Eukaryota; Viridiplantae; Streptophyta; Magnoliopsida; Fagales; Fagaceae. The record is from RNAcentral.